GUCUCUUUGAUUUUUUUUAAUGAGGAGUUGGGCCUGCUCGGUGAUUAAUAUUUAACAGCUGCGGUAUUAUAACUGUACUAAGGUAGCAUAAUAAUUUGUCUUAUAAAUUGAGACUAGAAUGAAUGGUUUGACGAAAAUUAGACUGUCUCCAAUUUAUUUAUUAGAAGUUAAUUUUUAUAGUGAAAAAGCUUUGAUAAUUUAAAGGGACGAAAAGACCCUAUUGAGCUUUAUAUUGUGUAUUAAAGUUAUUAAUUGUAUUUAUUUAAUACAUUUUGGUUGGGGUGACUAAGGAAUAAAAUUUAUUUUGUUUGUUAACUUCCUUAAUAGGUUAUAUAUAUAUAUUAAUAAACCAAGUUUUUUGCUUUGAAGAUAAGUUACCAUAGGGAUUAACAGCGUAAUUUUUUUUGAAAGUUCAUAUUGAAAAAAGAGAUUGCGACCUCGAUGUUGGAUUAAAAUAACCUUAAGGUGUAGAGGCUUUAAUUGGUGAAUCUGUUCGAUUUUUAAAAUUUUAC
This 512-nucleotide ribosomal RNA is filed under the name Amphioctopus mototi. Its description in RNAcentral is "Octopus mototi partial 16S ribosomal RNA". It matches the Rfam family "Bacterial large subunit ribosomal RNA", at positions 1817 to 2599 of the family's 2925-position model. Lineage: Eukaryota; Metazoa; Mollusca; Cephalopoda; Octopoda; Octopodidae. The record is from RNAcentral.